This 253-nucleotide ribosomal RNA is filed under the name uncultured bacterium. Its description in RNAcentral is "partial 16S ribosomal RNA". It matches the Rfam family "Bacterial small subunit ribosomal RNA", at positions 524 to 776 of the family's 1533-position model. The record is from RNAcentral.
UACGGGGGGAGCAAGCGUUGUUCGGAUUUAUUGGGCGUAAAGAGCGUGUAGGCGGCCAGGUAGGUCUGCUGUGAAAACUCGAGGCUUAACCUCGAGCUGUCGGCGGAAACCAUCUGGCUAGAGUCCGGAAGAGGAGAAUGGAAUUCCCGGUGUAGCGGUGAAAUGCGUAGAUAUCUGGAGGAACACCGGUGGCGAAGGCGGCAUCCUGGACCAUUACUGACACUGAAAAGCGAAAGCCAGGGGAGCAAACGGG